UAAAACCAGCACCUCAAGUGGUCAGGAUGAUUAUUGGGCCUAAAGCAUCCGUAGCCGGCUUUGUUAGUUUUCGGUUAAAUCCAUACGCUCAACGUAUGGGCUGCCGGGGAUACUGCAAGGCUAGGGAGUGGGAGAGGUAGACGGUACUCGGUAGGAAGGGGUAAAAUCCUUUGAUCUAUUGAUGACCACCUGUGGCGAAGGCGGUCUACCAGAACACGUCCGACGGUGAGGGAUGAAAGCUGGGGGAGCAAACCGGAUUAGAUACCCGGGUAGUCCCAGCUGUAAACUAUGCAAACUCGGUGAUGCAUUGGCUUGAUGCCAAUGCAGUGCCGCAGGGAAGCCGUUAAGUUUGCCGCCUGGGAAGUACGUACGCAAGUAUG
RNAcentral lists this ribosomal RNA (380 nucleotides) under uncultured archaeon. Its description in RNAcentral is "bacterial SSU rRNA". It matches the Rfam family "Archaeal small subunit ribosomal RNA", at positions 471 to 851 of the family's 1478-position model. The record is from RNAcentral.